Molecule: ribosomal RNA, 253 nt
Filed under: uncultured bacterium
Lineage: Bacteria
Description: partial 16S ribosomal RNA
Rfam family: Bacterial small subunit ribosomal RNA
Source: RNAcentral
UACGUAGGGUGCAAGCGUUGUCCGGAAUUAUUGGGCGUAAAGAGCUCGUAGGCGGUUUGUCGCGUCGGCUGUGAAAACCUGAGGCUCAACCUCGGGCCUGCAGUCGAUACGGGCAAACUAGAGUUCGGUAGGGGAGACUGGAAUUCCUGGUGUAGCAGUGAAAUGCGUAGAUAUCAGGAGGAAUACCGAUGGCGAAGGCAGGUCUCUGGGCUGACACUGACGCUCAUGCACGAAAGCGUGGGGAGCAAACAGG